GGACCAACCUGCUUGAGUCCAUACAGAGCUGCAGAGGAGGUGGGCAAGGGCUGGAUGAGCACUGAAGAGGUGUUUCUGCUCUACAGUGCAAUGCUUUGGUGACCCAGAAGAUGUACUGCAGUGUCUUCUUUGUGAUUGUGAUGCAGUGCUCAGUCAUCUUCUCAUUUGCAACCUCAGAAGUACCUGAAAAGCCUCGUUGUGCUUGCUGAAGUUCUUCCUGAUGAUCUGAGAACAACUGCCAGCACUCAAAUGAAAGCAAAUAAGGAGGCGGUGUGGUGCUGAAAAAGAGACGAGGACAUAACCAGGACAGCCCUACCCCCAGCACUGCCAGAGGAGAUCCUGCAGCAUACAAAUUGCCAUGGGACGGAAGCGAGACGGAUGCACAGAGCAGGAUGGCUCUGAAAGGUGCAGCAGCACACUAGAUUUGCUGGUUAGCCUAAGACACAGAAAACCCAAGAUCAAACACUAACUUCUUCUGAAAGCUUGGACAACUUCGUUUUCUUUUUCUUUUUAAUUGUACAGCCUGGAUAACAGUAGAUUUGCACCACAUGGCAGCCACUCUGGGUCACACCUCAGCACUAACAGACCAAUGGUGCCAUCCCUUGAGAGGUGACAUAAGCAGACUCCUACCAAGGAGUGCACACAUGGAGCUUUCAGCAUUUCCUUGCCACUGUCCCCAGCAAUUUCUGACCUUCAAACACCAUCUGAGGCAACUGUUUGCUUAUAACAUCCCAAAAGGAGGUUUCAGUUUAUGAAUUUAUCUAAAUGGUUUAUUUAACAAAAACAGAUACAUCUAAUUUGCAUUCCUCAAAGGAGUUAUACAAAUUAAUGGAACCUGUGAUUUUUCCUUCGAAACUAGGGAACUCAUUUGCUGAGAAGCAGACUGCUGGCAAGUGUAAGCCUUCAACAGGAAGCCUCAAAUAGGGAUUUUUAUCUUGGCAGCCACAGAAAACUCCUCUUGCACCUUAAAAAGCAUUCGUAAUUUCAGCAAGAUGCAUUCUGCAGGUUCUUUGUCUCCUGGCUUAUCUCAAAGUGUUUACAUUUUGGCUUAGGUGACAAGGAUUGAUUAGCAAUCCAGCUUCUAUCUCUGCUUUGCUAUUCAUCAUCCAAAGCCAAGGGCAUCAGUCAAGAUGAACGAAUGUAUCGACAUCCUCUGCAACAAAGCAAGCAUUUAAUGAAUAUUCACAAAGUGACCAGCAAGUAAGUUUCCAGAAAAGAAGAAAAAAAUGGCACCAUGACAGUAAUGGUUUUAUCUGAGCACUGAAGAUCGUGAAUGCUGAACUGCAUUGCAAAAGGAGCAGUGGUUGUAGCAUAGCAACUCAGGAGAGAAAUGAAAAUCCAUCAUGGUUUCCCCUCCCAUGCAAUCAGGAGUGGAAAUAGCCUUCUUGGCAAUUAGACCAAACCACAAACGGAUUUGGAGGUAACGUUUCUCAUUGCACUGCUUUGUCAGCAAGCGGAUCUCCUUCAGCUCCUCCCAGUGUUUUAACAAGUGUGGGGAGAAGCCCUGCACAAUAAAGCCAUAAUGAUAAGGGCAGGAAGAAAGGAGAAAAGGAACGCCACAUCUCAGCUUUUAGGGAGCACAUUACUUUAUACCUUUCACAUCCAAUUUUGGCUCUGCUAAGCUCUGGCUGCCCUGCCUUCACACGGCACUUCAGAGCAGUGCCAUUAACGUCCCUCUGGGUGGCAUAUCCCUCUGCCACUUCUGUGCUGAAGCCUUUGAAACACUGGAACAAAGCUCACCGUGUCCUAAAAUAGCCUUUUAGAUGCCCAAAAAGCAAGUGAGGAAAGGGCUGAGGGGAAGUUCCUCUCCUCCAUCCCCUUCUACUUAAUUUGCUGGUUUAAAGACAUUCAGCAACACUUUUCUCUCAUCCACAGCAAGGUGAUCUAGCCUCAGAGAGCAAAGCCCAGCAACAGAACCAGUGAGAUCACAGCUAAUUAAGACAUCUUCUGUGUUCAAUAAGGAAAUAUUCAGCAGUUCUUGAAUUAAGAUUUAAGAUUUCUCUACCACCUUCUUUUCUGCAUAAGGGGAGGAAGCUCACGACGUUCUCAGAAGCUUACAUCACUGUGACCGCUGCUAAACGUUAAUUGCAACAUAAGAGUGGAGAGCUCUGAUGAAAGCAAGGUUAUUUAAUAUUCAUGGUUGGUCCCCUAUGCUUUGCAGUCAAGCUAUUGAGAAAAAUAAGCUAUUAUAGGAUACAUAAAAAGUAUUUUCUGAUUGCCAUUAUCAGCAGUUUUUCAGCUACAUUACUUUGAUAUUUGGUCUGUCAGAAGCAUGACCUGAGAGCAUCUAAAACACCCCAACUCACAUCACCUUACACACUGAGAAAUUACGAAUACACUGGGAUUUAAACAAACACAAUUCACAAGUCUUAUUAAUUGCAACAUUAUCAUCUCUUCUGUAACUCUUCAGUCUUUCUCUGAGCUUAGAGUAACGUCAUCUUUGGUUUAAAACCAGCAGAUUUCAGUAGUCUUGGCAACAUCCAAUGGUAUUUCAUCUCAGACUGUGGUGGAGUUGAACGCAACCAGCAGAGCGUGCCCUACCACGCUGUCACCUUUCUAGUAAUGCUACGAAGGUCUGUACAACGCAGACAUUCAUUAUAAAAAUACUGUUACAUUUCCAAUUCUCAUCACUGCAAAGAGAACUAUUUGAAAUGUGAACCCAUGCAAAUAACUUCUCUGUUCAGAGAAAACCCAUUUCGAUUAGACGAGUGAGAGCCCCUUCAAUCCGUACAGAUUUUCUAGUCCAAUGAUAAUAAUUAAAAUUUUGAUCUCAGAAGAGAUUUCUUGACUCAUCUGAUGCUAAUGUUUCACGCUGGGAGAACACAUGAUUAAUACAGCAAGACUCUUGGAGCCUCAAGUUCUGCAUGCCAUGAAGGCAGUGAAUCUGGCUUCAGACAGUGAGAUCUCCCACACCACCAGCAACCAGCUGACCAGAAACAUCCUCUUAAAGCAUGGGGAGCUCCUGGACGAGCUCCCUACCACUGCCCUACCUCUACUGCAAGUGCUGAAGUAGAACCACGGUAGGCUUCCCACACUAAAAACCAGAAAAAAUGUAUUUUAUACCAAAACCAGAUAGCUACAAUAUACUGAACAAAAUAUCGAAGCUAUUCCAUAUUUUAUGCCCUGUAUGUUUUCUGUUUUUAAUUUAUAAACAAAGAAUUGAAAUAGAAGCCAAGAUAAUGUGGAGCUGAUCGUGCGUGAAGAACAAGCAUUCUUCUGGCUUAAUUACCGAACAGUUUUGUACACAGGCAUGGAUGGACUGCUCUCAUUUUGUUCACUGCAAACCACAGCCAGCACUGCAUGCAGUAUCAUAUUUAUGUUCCCUUUAAAACAAACUCCUACACUUUGCAGCUUUCACACGUAAAGAACAAUCAGAUAACAGCUUUGUCGAAUUACAACCAGUUCCCACAAAGGAGCAGAAUUUCUCUUGGCAACUAAACCAUGUGUUGGUAAUUGUACUUAAAAAUAACCACUGCCUUGACCUAAUUCUCCAGUCAUUUGUGUUGUGCGUGGCAUUAAUGAUUCUAAGAAAGCACUUUGUAUUUAACAGUGGGAUCUCCUGCUUCCAGCUCUGCAAAACCCAGCUCAGUCCCUGCCGUGUUGCCAGACAAGAACCAUCAUCGAUGCUUCCUGUGGAACCUGCACUACAUCAGGGGGUUUUACCAACCUCUGUACUGUUGAGUGUGGAAACAAACUGGAAAAGAUAACAGACCAAUCGUGAUCGAAGUUCAAAAAUGCUCUGGAAUGCGUGCAGGCUUCAGAUAAGGACAUGAAACUUUCACAUGCUUAUCAAACCUUCAGCUUUGCAUCCUCAGACAGAAAAGAGGAAAACCCAAAGCACAACGUGCACGAGUGCUGCAGAUCUUAAAGGUUUGGCUUGCAUGCAGCUGUGAAAUGGGGCAGUGCUGGGGAAUUUGGCACACUAAGACAGUUCAUCCCAGAAAGGCACACUUCUAUUUCUAAGAAAUAGUUUUGGCCUCCAUUCAAUUACCAGAAUGAUGUGAAAAUUAAUUUCCAAAUUGAAGUAAACAUCUAAAUUAAUAGAAUCCUACUUCAGCCUGCCUUGUGUACUCCCUUAGAAGUAAGACCACCUUGAGGAAACAGGUUUAAAAACAAAUCCCAAGCAAAACCGAGAGAAGAGGUGGGAUGAGGGAAGGUAUUUAUCACGUUGGAGCAGUGGACAUUUAUUUUUAGCAGCAGCUAUUCCAGUUUGAGAAGGAUUAUUAAACAUGAUUGAACGUUUAAUCCCUAGCUGCUAGGCUCCAGACAUGACUUUUAUUUGGAAAAAGAUCAUAUUUUCCAUCCCAGAGGAGAUUUCCUGUACACUCCAAAGACUUCUUCCAGCCUUUGGUGCCACACAUGGCUGUGACACACUCAGUCACGUUAAGAUCUCACCUCCCAUAUGGCAUUUCCUGUACUCCUGUCUAUGCUGAAGUGGUUUUGUUAGUUUUCUUGUUUUGAAGUGACAAAUGCAAGUAGUUCAUACAAAAUCUAUUUAGUGAAUUUAGACUUACAUUUUUAACUUAAUUUUUAUGAUCGCAUUUGUAAGAUAUCCUUCUGCCAGACACAGUUACAUGACUGUUCAAUUCCUCUGCUGGUGAGUUGCCUGAACGGUGCUCAAGUAAUCCUAUAAACUACAUGGGAUGAUUAGCAGAUGCCCUUGUAGAAUAAUUCCAUUUCUUUGUUUCCUUUUUAUUUUCUUCCUUCCAUUAUUCUGCCAUUGCUGUUAUAACACAGGAGAUCACUUUGUAGAAGACACACAAACACGCAGAAGAGCUCCAGAGACAACAGCUUCCUCCCUCACAUCACCUCUGACUGUCUGGCUCUGCUCAUCCAUCUCUCAGCUCCAGGAAACAACAGCCUGUUCUUACUCUCAAAAAUCGUUUUGGACUCCUUUCAACUUUAUGAAGAAGUCUAGUGAUUCUAGUGGCGUUAACAUCCCAUGUAUAUGUAUUUUCCAUGUACCUUUUUUCAUACAUAUAUAUCCAUCCAGAAAUUAGCAAAAACUGACACUGAAGAGAAAUGGUGUCGAUUACCCACACACCCCAACGGUCUAUCCCAACUGACACCUACAUCUGCUGGUUUAUCAUAACGGAAUGUGGCAGAAAGUGACACAACAGCUAUAAUUAUCACCUUACCAAACUGCUCAACCACUUCCUCCAAUUUGUUCACGAGUGCUAUAACACAGGGGCUAGGAGCCAGCUUCAGGUGUAUGCUUCGAAGAACUGCAUACAGAAAUGAAUUGAGUUGGUGGUUUGUGAUUUAUUUGUUAAACAGAAGAUCACCAUAAAACCUUAAAAUAUGCAUCCAAGUACGAGAGAUUAACUGAAACACUGAAAAUGUCAUUAUUCAGUGUGGUGGCAUGGAUAGGAACAGAUACCCCCCAGGAGCACAACCAGGCUGCACUUCUCUCAGCAUCUCUGUGAUUACCCCUGGAAAUGACUGCUGAACUUGGGGACCUGAAUCCAUGGGGAAAUAAGGUACCAAAUUGGGACACCUUGGAGGAAAGAAAAAAACAAAACAAAAAAAAACACCUGUGAAAGAGGAGAUAAUGUAGUUGCAGUUUCUUUUCUCAGGAAGCUUAGUUUAUUCUAGAUGGUCAGAAAAAGAACAGAAUUGCAUCCAGCACAGAAGACACCUGUUCAAACAAAGAGCACCCAAACAGACUGCAUACCCCCAGCACUGACCUCAGCCUCCAACAUGACAUGGAAGUCAUGCCUUUAACUCAUGAUUAAAGCAAACAAGAAACCCACCAACAUGAGUCACCCGACAAAAGGUGAAAAGAUUCUGCCUUAAUCAUUCCGUAUAUUCUUUUUUCCCCCCCAGUAAUUACAAUUAUUUAAGCUUUCGUUACAAUUAAACCUCAGAACAGGACCAGAUAUUUAGCAGAACAGAUUUAAUUAUUAUUUCUGUGCAAAAUUAUCGAACUAUACUAACCACGAAUUGCAGGAGAUAUCUUCAUAGCCAUAUAAGAGAAGCUACAAUGAAUACUCAAACCUCAGAGUGGAUGGAAACUGUCACGCAGCCGCCCCACCUAGAUCCACUGGCUAAGUAUCCUGUAUGCUGCUCAGCAAAAACAACCAGCCCGAUGAGACAAUGUGUCUGGCAUGUUAUAUUUAAGACAUAAUCUUAUAAUUGUAACUGAACCUCUCUGGGAGUAUGUAACCUCAGACAUUAACUAUUAAAAAAAGUUGUCAAUACAGUUGCAAAGUCUUUUCCACCCUCUUCCACUCUUCCCACAUUGUGUGCUUAGCACAGCAAGCUGUCACCUGAACUACGCUGCUGAUGCAUGCUAUACAUGCAUGUGCAUCUGAUGAACUUCCAGCAGGUCACCUCCUAGGAGGGGCUUCAAUUUAGGCUGAAUGG
Gallus gallus (chicken) is the source of this 6366-nucleotide long non-coding RNA. RefSeq lists it as uncharacterized. The record is from RefSeq and is a predicted model, not a curated record. The transcript is spliced from 3 exons. NCBI's taxonomy places the organism in Eukaryota, Metazoa, Chordata, Aves, Galliformes, Phasianidae.